GAAAGCGGAAUCGGGUGCUCCAACAUUUUGAUUCAAAUUCACAUAAAAUGAUUAUCUAUCACACACUGUUUUAUUGAUUUAAGAUACCGUUACAAUUUCGAUGGGGCAAGUUUCUCUUCUCUUGCGGACGUGGAAGCCUCCUGCUGGGCUCUCCUCUUAGGGCUACGAGUAGGUGGAUGUGGGCUCUUGUGCAAUCUUAUUUUGGGCUUGUAAAGUUGUGCAAUCUAUCCCUAUAGGCUUCAGGGAAGGGCCUACCAGAUGGGAUAUUCAAGCUGAAUCCUUCACUUUCAAAUGUUGGUUUUCAUCAGCAGUUCUUGCAGGAGCAAUUCCCAUCAUUAAAAUCAUGAAACCUUUUUGAAUCUCUUAAGAGGAAAGCCCUUCCAGUAGCUUGAGACACAAGCUUCAUAAACUCAUCGCAAUCGCCGCAAACACGAACGUUCUUUACAAAUUAUAAUCCUUAAGGGUAUCCUUCCAUUAGGUUUUUUUGUUAAACCAAAUGCAAGAGCAAGUUUCUCACCGUGAUAACAGAUGGAAUCAAACUUCUCCUCCCCAACAUUGUGAAGAACCACUUUCGUAUUGGGAGUAAAACCGAAUUCCUGCAAAGCUAGGGUUGGGUUUGUGGUUUGGCCUGGGAGAAGAUUCUUUGUUGCACGAUAAAAUAUUUUUCAAAAUCUGAUUUCCAAAGUACCCUCCAUCUAUGUUUAUAUAUAUGUAAAUGAGUUCAUAAUUUUUUUAAUAUGUUGGUGGCAUACGUUAAGUGAUGAUAUUAACCCAGUAUAAAAUGAGUGAAAAGUAAAGUUGAUAAGUCAAGAUUAAAUAGACUGGCAUGCUAAUUUGUUCAUGGGACCGGAUAUGUUCACAUUUGCCAUAACUUAGUACUGUCGGCAAUUCCCAAGUCACUCCUCCUCAACGAGUGAUCAUGCAUAUCUCACACUGAACAGUCAACGCUCCAUCCCUGCUUAAUAUUUCAACUCAUUAGGGUUUCGCGUUCAUAUCUUCUCACCGGUUUUUCUAGUAUGCACUACGUACUUAUGACAUACCAAAUUUCGUUGAAUUCUUGAUCAUUGGAUCAUUGAUUACGUUAUUCAGCUUUUUACGGUUUCGACGUACGUCGUGUACCGAUGUAUGAUAAAGAUUUUGCUGUGCAGCUCCUGUACUCAUCACACAGCUGAGCCUGAAAGCGAGUUUGUCCUUCGGAAUAAAGUGAAACUGAUGUCACGCAGCUGCUGGGUGGCAUGGCCCCCAUGCAAGAGUCAAAGAGUGUAAAAUGGUCAUUGGGUCCCUCGACCUUGCAUGCAUGGAUUGGGGUCCUACUGAUCAUCCUUUUUUCCUUCCAAUUAUUCAUUUUUAUUUUUCUUAUUUGUUUCAAGAUUUAGCAGAAGUCAGAAAAUAUAUAUCACCAAAAGUAUGGCUUGGCCUUACUGUCACCAGGAAAAAGGGAAGGCAAUGGCAAAACACAUUAAAAAAAACACUGUUUCUUCAGCUUUUCCAUAUCGUAUUCGUAUGGCUUUUUUGGCCUUUUUCCCUCUCGUUUUGAAGUGCUUGAAAGUUGACACACUGACCCCAAUCUAUUCAGUUUUUAUUUUCUCCAUUAGCAAGUGGGAUUAUUGGGGCUGUACACGGUACAUGUUUGAAUCCUGAAUGUAAUUAUCACCAAGUCUCGAGUGUUAUCUGACUCUCGAGACUUGAUGAAUAUAAGGUUGAUUAGAAAGUGUUGCAUUACACAUUUUAUUUAUGGGCUAAGCACUUUUUUAGGGUAUAACUUCAAUAAGAAGUAAUAUUGAAUUACGACAUGGAUAAUCAUAGUUGUGUCAAAAUAUCUGAUAUAUUAUAUUGGGUGAAACAACUAGGAAUGUGAGAAAUCACAUCCCACAUUUGAGAUUUUCUCAGUAUAUGAUUUAGUAUAUAAUGAUAGCGAGCACUCUUGUAGCCCAUAUAGUUUGCAUUUGUAAAGAGUUGUAAGACAACAAUAAAGUGUGGUAUUACGAUACUAACAUAGGAUAUAAUCAAUUCACGUAUUGUAUAUGUAUAUUAACUACAUAUAGAUAUGAAUAAAAAGUCAUAUUAUGUGACGUUAUUUCACUAUACUGACUAAUAAUUUCUCUUCAAUUUUAAAUGACAAUGAUAGGCAAUAGUAAAACAUACUUAAAAGUCCAAAAGAACAUCUCACCUGUCUCCUUUUUGGCGUGGACAUUGAGCACUUACUUUAUUUUUAAUCUUUUGGAAGCAUGUGGACUAAUUUUUAAUGUGGUUUGUUUGAAAUUGCUUUUGAAAUGGCUAAAAACGUUUUUAGAGAAUAUUUUUGCGUUUUAAAAACACUUCAAGCCCUUCUUUUAAAAUUUACUUGCAUUUUAUUAAGAAUUUUCCAAAGAUAUUUUUAUAAAAAAUAAAAUAAAAAUAUUUCAAUCAACUAAAAGAACUUACAAACCAGCCCUACAUAACUAGGAAAUGACGAGAUACCGUACUCUAAUAAUGAAGAAACAUCUUUGCUUCUUUGUUAAAUGUUUUAUGCGUCAUAGGCUUCCCACAUAUCUUGUUGAAUAGAAAAGGCAAUCUGUCUAGUGGUGGUGGAGGAAUAAAAAAAUGUCGGACAUGUAUUUUUUUUUCCACAACUUUCAUCAAAGUUAUACAAAUGGCCAAGCCUACAAAGACGUCGGCAACCUAUCCUUCUAAUUUCUAAUGGAAAAAAUGAUGCUGACGGCAUAACAAAAAUAUUCCCUUCUCUUCCAUUCAGCAGGUUAUUUUGGUGGGGCAGAGUACAACCAUCUUGGAUGAUUAAGUGUAUUGAGUGUUACAACUCAUGUUCAAAGGAUGAAAUGUGAGUGGAAAUGCCUGCAAAAAUCAAAGUUUUCGGCUUUCAAUUUUGUUGUGACAUACUCAUCGAUUGUGAAAUGAAAAUUUCUUGACAUAUCCUUGAUUAUUUUCAAUGUACGGAAGCAACACAAUAAUUCUCAUAUAUAUGGAUCAUUGUCAUCGACAUGAAAUCAUAUUUUGACAUUUUUAACAUGGAAUCAUUGGAACCGUAUCACGAAAAGUGAAGAGAGAGAGUAACUACUGAAAAGGACUUGCAGCUCGAUGAGCGCUUAAGAGAAUUUACUCAAACACUCGACCUUUAGAGUCAAAUAUUCGUCCCCUAAUAUAACCUGCAUCAAAGAAAAUUUGAUUGCAAAUCUAAUGAAACUUACAAUCUUUUCACUACUUCCACAUUAUAAUUAGUGAAUGAAAAGUAACAGAUGCAAAAGACUUGUAACUCAAGUAAUUAAAAAAUGGAUAGUACUUAUAUUCCUCUGUUUAUAGCAUAACUCUAUCGUAGAAAUUUCAUAAACGGAACCGUUCUAAUUUGUCGUAGAAUUGAACGGUUCCAAUUAUAAAAAUUUGUUGGGCUUUAAAGUAUUGACGGGUUGACCCACCUACUAGGGCGAUACAUGGACCCAAUAGUUAUUUUCUUUCGUUUUCUCCUUUUUUUCUAAAUUAUGUCAAUGAAAUACAGAGGACCAAAGCUACCUACAAGAUUCUGCCGACUGUUACCUACAGAUUACAUGAGCCAAUAGGAGCUUGCCGCCCCAGAUUCUGAUUAAAAAAUACGUGUUCUGAGCCGUCAGAUCAAUGCAGUCACAUUCUGCCAACCUUUAUUGGGUGGAUCACUGUCAUGGGGUCAAAGUUCAAGGUUCUUCUCCUGUCUUGAUAUACACGUGGCUGUGAAAAGUUGUGCGGUGUUGUGACCUUAUGGUGAGGAGCAGUGUAGGGACAUCAGGAUUUGCGGCGUCUACGGAGUCUCGGGCGGUCGCACGUGGGUAUCAAUUCAACGAUCAAACCCACGUGUGGAACUCCUCCCCGACACCACCUGUAUAUUCUCCUAAACCCACAAAAAGCCCAUCUUAUUAUUUCCCAAAUCUAGUUUAAGUUAUUAUUAUUAUUAUUUUGUUUAUUGAGGAAAGAUUAUAAAACUAACUCACAACAACAACCACCACGGAGUGGUCAAAUGGUUGGAUAAAUUUCAGGCUUGUAUUUCAUACGGCGCGUCAUGAGUUCGAUUCCUGACGCUGAUGAAUUGCAUGAUGGUGGCUAGAGGAGGCUGAAAUGUCUCUGUGAGUCUUUUUGACCUUUGAAAUGGUGGAGUCGGUGGACUGCAGUGACAAAGGCACCAGCUGGUCCCUUAAAAAAAAAAAAACCCCACGAAAACCCGAAGUGAUUGAAAUUAAAAAACAAAAUAAUUGAAAGCGGAAUCGGAUGCUCCAACAUUUUGAUUCAAAUUGACAAAAAAUGAUUAUCUAUCAUACAUUGUUUUAUUGGUUUAAGAUACCGUUACACUUUCGAUGGGCAAGCUUCUCUUCUCUUGCGGACGCGGAAGCCUCCUGCCGGGCUCUCCUCUUAGGGCUACGAGUAGAUGGAUGUGGGCUCUUGUGCAAUCUUACUUUGGGCUUGUAAAGUUGUGACACUUCCUUUCAAUGGAUUGGGCUUAAGAUGGAUCUGUCCCUAUAGGCUUCAGUGGAGGGCCUACCAAAUGGGAUAUCCAAGCUGAAUCCUUCACUUUCAAAUGUUGGUUUUCAUCAGCUUGCAGGAGCAAUUCCCAUCAUUAACAUCAUGAAACCUUUUCGAAUCUCUUAAGAGGAAAGCCCUUCCAUAGCUUGGGACACAAGCUUCAUAAACUCAUCGCAAUCGCCUCAAACACGAACGUUCUUUAUAAAUUAUAAUCCUUAAGGGUAUCCUUCCAUUAGGUUUUUUUGUUAAACCAAAUGCAAGAGCAAGUUUCUC
This 4755-nucleotide long non-coding RNA is filed under the name Malus domestica (apple). Its description in RNAcentral is "long non-coding RNA (MDOM_LNC001362)". The record is from RNAcentral. Lineage: Eukaryota; Viridiplantae; Streptophyta; Magnoliopsida; Rosales; Rosaceae.